UUCUGAAAUUAAAUACGCCCCUUAAUUCUGUGUGAGGUCAAACUUUCCCUCACAGACUUCAUCUGCUUAACGCGAGCGGCUGCACGCGGUGAUGCUGAGGAGACCUGAUCCCCUUUUCUCGGCCCUGUUUUAAGAACAUCACGGAACCUCCUCAUUUUGUGGAGGGGGGGGGAAGAAAAAAAUAGAAUAAAAAAUAAAAGGGGGUUAAAAAAUGAGCAAACGGAGGAUGUUUUCCUCACAGAAAGGGGAGGGGGAGGCAGGCGGCCGCGCGGCACAGCGCCGCCCGCGGUACUGCAGGGCCCCGCCCGCUGCUGCUUCACAAAAUGGCGCCCGGCGGGGCCGCGCCGAGCGGUGCUGAGGCGACAAAAUGGGGGCGGGCGGGCAGCGAGGGAAGGGCCUCAGGGCCCCUCGUUCCUCUCCCGUCUCGUUUUGAGGUGUUUUUCCCCUCGCAGCGUGAAGAUUUUGGGGGGUUGCAGUCUUUGCUGUCCUCACCGCGUGGAAAAUGCCCAAAAAAACAAAACAAAACAACACCCAAAAAGCCCCGAACAGCCGGGGGGACUGAAGGAAGGAACUGCCUCCUCACAGCCACCAUUCUGGGAAAUGCAGGAUUGUUUGUGUAACUCCCACUCUGCAGCAGAUAGCUUCUCUGUGAGUAUUGUAAACAUGCAGCAAGCUGGGCAGUGGGAUCUGGCCUUGCUGAGGAGGGUAAGGCACAGUGCUCUGGUUGUGUGAGUGCUGUACACCGCCACAGAAAGCCACAGUGUUUCUGUGGUUACUUCUGGAGGGCAUGAGCAGGUCCCAGGGCUUCCCCUUCCCACCCUGUAUGUUUCACAAAAGAAAAGGCUGCUGCUUCUGGAAGAAGCUCUGCCUUGUGGCCUUAUUUAAAAAAAAAAAAAAAAAAAGGCUGUGGAUUAGUCAUCAUUAUAGUUAAAGGAGGCUGCGUGUGCUGGUGUGUGUGUGAUGUUAAGCAGUAGUUUAUUUGGGAGGGCUGGUAAUGUGCUCGGGUCGCUGCUCCUGGAGCAGUGCCACCAGGCUCCAUCAAGCUGCUGCUGGCAGGUGGAAAAGCUGACGGGCUGGCUGUUGGUCCCCUUCCAUCCCUUUUCCCUUUUCAGUAUCUCUGCACUGGCAGGUGUGGAAAGGAGGAGACCGAAACAACAGCGAGGAGGACAGGCGAGGUUCCAAUGCCAGAGAAUAAACGCUGUGCUUUUUUAUCCUUGCUCGUGGUA
Molecule: long non-coding RNA, 1226 nt
Filed under: Chrysolophus pictus (golden pheasant)
Lineage: Eukaryota; Metazoa; Chordata; Aves; Galliformes; Phasianidae
Description: lncRNA (ENSCPIG00010011324.1)
Source: RNAcentral